GGCACUCCCGCGCCCAGCCGCGCGGGUCCGCCGAAGGACAGACACGGAGCAGGCCCCGACCUCGGCGUCGUCGGUGCGCGCGAUUUGGUGGGAGGAUCGCCCGGGCUCUCGAGCCGCAGGGUCGCUUGUCCGAAUCAUCGUCGCGUGUCUCACACCGUCACGGCACAUGCCC
Molecule: ribosomal RNA, 172 nt
Filed under: Trentepohlia sp. R10
Lineage: Eukaryota; Viridiplantae; Chlorophyta; Ulvophyceae; Trentepohliales; Trentepohliaceae
Also listed under: 11 other names
Description: 5.8S ribosomal RNA
Source: RNAcentral